UACAUGGGGUGCAAACGUUGCUCGGAAUUAUUGGGCGUAAAGCGCGCGUAGGCGGUUACUUAUGUCGGAUGUGAAAGCCCUCGGCUUAACUGAGGAAGUGCAUUCGAAACUGGGUAGCUAGAGUACUAAAGAGGGUCGCGGAAUUCCCGGUGUAGAGGUGAAAUUCGUAGAUAUCGGGAGGAACACCGGUGGCGAAAGCGGCUCUCUGGAGCGGUACUGACGCUGAGACGCGAAAGCGUGGGGAGCGAACAGG
This 253-nucleotide ribosomal RNA is filed under the name uncultured bacterium. RNAcentral describes it as "partial 16S ribosomal RNA". It matches the Rfam family "Bacterial small subunit ribosomal RNA", at positions 524 to 776 of the family's 1533-position model. The record is from RNAcentral.